AGGCCGGGCAGCUAAGCCGUUUGGGCUAAGUGCUGAAAGCAUCUAAGCACGAAUCCCAUCCCGAGACAAGUUAUUCUUUCGUAAGAUGAAGGUCGGCAGUAAAAUACUGCGUUGAUAGGAAGGUGGUGUA
Molecule: ribosomal RNA, 130 nt
Filed under: Candidatus Nitrosopumilus sp.
Lineage: Archaea; Thermoproteati; Nitrososphaerota; Nitrososphaeria; Nitrosopumilales; Nitrosopumilaceae
Description: Nitrosopumilus sp. partial 23S ribosomal RNA
Rfam family: Archaeal large subunit ribosomal RNA
Source: RNAcentral